Molecule: long non-coding RNA, 2394 nt
Organism: Cyprinus carpio carpio
Lineage: Eukaryota; Metazoa; Chordata; Actinopteri; Cypriniformes; Cyprinidae
Source: Ensembl
GUCACUUCCUUUCAUACUCCGUUGGCCAAAUACUUCUCGUGACAGGCUUUCAGAAAACAAGGUGACCUGGGAUCCAGUGUCCACCAAACAGGAUAUUUUAACACCGCAUACCUUCGCUUCCACCACCGGACUCCGUCCAAUCAAUCCGCCCUUCGAAUCCGUUGUUCGAGAUGGGUCUUCUAAAGGGGGCCCGACCACAUGACCCACUGUGGCCGGUCGUCCUAAAAACCCCCAUCGAGCCUCUUCGAGGUCCGCACUGUCGGCUAUAAUGUCCGGCCUCCCCACAACGGUUGCAGAUGGGUCGCCCCUGUUCGUCCCAUUCAAAGCGUGGGCGAGCCGGCCGACUCAAUCGUCUCCCCGGAUCCCGGCCACCAUCGGAAUACGCUCGCUCUCGAGGGGCGUGCCUUACCUCCUGGCUAGGGGCCCCCUGCCGCAAUUCCUCCAACAGUGUUUUAGACAGCUCUUUCAUCUGUUCACGGACAUCCUUCAUGAGCUCGGUCCUUAAUGUCUGUUUCCAAUCCACUUCGGGAGGGGCAGCUGCACUACUACUUACGGCCGCACACACAGGGGAAUCUUUAACCUCGACCUGGUCGAGCUCUAAGGCAACUGCCUCCUUCUUCAGAUCUUCAAACGUCAGUUCAGGAUCUCUUCGGAACUGUACCCGUAGGCUCUGCCGCACUGGGCCUUCCCGCAGUCCUAGUAGGAACUGAUCCCUCAGAAGGAUCUCUCCGUCCUCCAGGCCGUGAUCCGGACAUUUUUGCAAUCUGGUGAGCUGCUCCCGAAGUCGUAGUGCAUAGGCUCGUAUAGGCUGCCGGGGUCCUUGUUUACAACUAAAGAACUGGGCUCGGAGGACGGCAACGGGGGUGGUAUCUCCGUAUUGCUCGGACAGGAAGUUAAAGACGGACUGGGCCGUAGCCCGCACAGCUUCCGGGGCGGCCUGGACUUCGCGCCGCGCUUCCCCUUCCAAGGAGUUCAGUACGAACUGUAGCUGUUGGACUGCACUCAACCCUUGAAGCCCGGCCAAAUACUCAAUCUGGGCUCUCCAUUCAGAUAGUCUCACCUCUGAUUCGGUGCCGCCAUAUUUCUGGACCCAUGGGUUUCCCAUAAACACAGGCAUGACUCGGGGUGGGACUCCUGGCAGCUCGUCGUCGGCCAUUGGGGGACCUUGAUCGCUCCACUCGAGGUGGAACCCUGCCGACUACGCCAAAAUCUGUCACAGGUCGGAGCGGACCACAGGUGUUGCGAGUCACGCCCCUUCCCGACUUCCACCUCGAGGAGGUCCCAAGAUCACCCCAAGGACCAGACACACAAGAUAAGUUAAGGGUAAUUUAAAACAACUUUAUUUAAAUUAUUUAAAAAGGUAAUCUAGGAAAGGAGAAAAGGGGAAUCUAAAAUUUUGAUCUUCGUCUCUUGGCAGGAGGGAACUGAGCCUGAGAACUCUGGAGGUCUUUGGUAAGUAAUCACAAGGGGAGGGGGGGGGCAAAGGGCUCUUUCGUCCUUUCCCAGAACUUCUACCAGUCUCCUGACUAAUCCUAAGUCCUUCCUUAGCGGCUUGAUUUCCCGUGGCGCCCUUCUCUUCUCCUGAAGGCAACAGAACACACAAUGAGUAAUAGAUAAAACGGAGAAGAAUGCCUUGUUCCUAGCUUCUUUGCUCUUUGGGUUGCGCUUCACCAGCGUCUGGACAGCUCCUCCACUCCCAUUGACCUCCUAGGUAAGUAUAAGGCGACACACAAAUCCCUGAGGGCACAGGUAAGUAACAACGGUAAGGAUGUAGCAAGGUAAGUAUUCAACAAGUGACUGUAUCUUCACGCUGGGCUUUACAGGGCGUAUUCAAGGACAAUAGCUUUUAGCUCGUACAGACAGGUAAGUAUUCAACAAGUGACUGUAUCUUCACGCUGGGCUUUACAGGGCGUAUUCAAGGACAAUAGCUUUUAGCUCGUACAGACAGGCAAGUAUUCAACAAGUGACUGUAUCUUCACGCUGGGCUUUUCAGGGCGUAUUCAAGGGCAAUAGCUUUUAGCUCUGUACAGACAGGUAAGUAUUCAACAAGUGACUGUAUCUUCACGCUGGGCUUUUCAGGGCAUAUUCAAGGGCAAUAGCUUUUCCCACAAUAUCCGCACAAUACCUUGUUUUGCUUUCGCACUUCACCUUCAAGCUGGGUCCAGAGAACGGAGUUAUAGGCGGGCGUAGGUGGAAUAGGUGGGCACCGCCACGGCAGCCUACGUUCUUUCCAACAGGAACCUUUCUCGGCCUGGAGGGCAAGUACAGACAACAGGGACACGGCACAGCACUGCAAAGCUUUAGUGCACACACGUCAAAGACAGACUCACCCACUGCACUACACACACUUCAGUGAUUUUUAAGGUCGGUACUCCACACCCGGUCGGAUUUCGU